AGUGAACGCUGGCGGUAGGCCUAGCACAUGCAAGUCGAACGGCAGCACAGUAAGAGCUUGCUCUUACGGGUGGCGAGUGGCGGACGGGUGAGGAAUACAUCGGAAUCUACUUUUUCGUGGGGGAUAACGUAGGGAAACUUACGCUAAUACCGCAUACGACCUACGGGUGAAAGCAGGGGAUCUUCGGACCUUGCGCGAUUGAAUGAGCCGAUGUCGGAUUAGCUAGUUGGCGGGGUAAAGGCCCACCAAGGCGACGAUCCGUAGCUGGUCUGAGAGGAUGAUCAGCCACACUGGAACUGCGACACGGUCCAGACUCCUACGGGAGGCAGCAGUGGGGAAUAUUGGACAAUGGGCGCAAGCCUGAUCCAGCCAUACCGCGUGGGUGAAGAAGGCCUUCGGGUUGUAAAGCCCUUUUGUUGGGAAAGAAAAGCAGCAGGUUAAUACCCCGCUGUUCUGACGGUACCCAAAGAAUAAGCACCGGCUAACUUCGUG
This 492-nucleotide ribosomal RNA is filed under the name uncultured bacterium. RNAcentral's name for it is "partial 16S ribosomal RNA". It matches the Rfam family "Bacterial small subunit ribosomal RNA", at positions 29 to 507 of the family's 1533-position model. The record is from RNAcentral.